This 2099-nucleotide ribosomal RNA is filed under the name Triticum aestivum (bread wheat). Its description in RNAcentral is "partial small subunit ribosomal RNA". Lineage: Eukaryota; Viridiplantae; Streptophyta; Magnoliopsida; Poales; Poaceae. The record is from RNAcentral.
GGCGGGGGAGGGGGUUGGUAUCGGCGGUGUGCGUCGUCGGUACCGCCUGACGUGGAAGUCGCAGCCGUCGGCGGCGAGCAGGUACGACACUUCGGUAGGGGCGGGACGAGCGGAAGCAGGCGGCGGCAGCACCUGGCAGAGGAGGCAGGGGCUGUUGUGUAGGAGCGGGAGCAGACGGCGGUAGUGGCUGGCCGAGGAGGCAGGGGCUGUUCAGUAGGGCCAGGACGAGCGACAGAAGGCGGCUUCUUGGGCCGCCGACACAGCUAAGAGACGGAGGGGCUGGUGGAGAAGGCUAAAACGCUUCCCCUCCAACGUAACGGGCCUCCUUUCCGUCUCCUCCCACUAUAACUACUACGUCGUUGUAGUAAUUCCCUCCGUUUCCUCCUCUAACCCGAACUAGGUCGGAACCAGUGACAGCAAAGGAGCGAACUCGUGAAGAACGGGUUCCAUUCUACAGAUACUCAAGAGCGGGUGGGGCCGCUGGGGACCGAUCUCCACCAACUAAUGUGGACUACUCCUCUUCAGAACCUUUGUGCCAGCACCACAGGCGUCCGGGUUGUGCCAGGAACCACACUAAACAGCGGUCUCGAAGGGCCCCACCCAGUACAACGGACCACUCCCGGUCCAAGGUUUCGAUCCUUACUGGACCCUCGUGAUGAACCAACGGGGCCGGUGCGGCCCCCUCUCCUAGCCGCCACGGCUCACGGUGUGCCACCGGCUGCAACACUAGGUCUGCAAAACCUGGAAAAUGUUCACACGACUCCCUGUCCUCCUCCGGCGCCGAGCCCAAUAGCUUCGGCUCACGUAUGCCGAUGAAGUUUUGACCGCCUUGUACCGAACCUGCAUCCGAUGAGCUCUGAUGAAACGGAGCUAACCAUAAUCCUACAGGUUCAACUUCACAGCGUGUUUCAUAGACUCAUUCCUCUUCAUGUACUUCCACGGGAGCUCUACCACACGCCUAUCCGACCUAACAACCCUCCGUAACCACCUACUCACCACGAGAGGGGUUACCGAUAGGUGGGUGUUGUUACGUUUCCUAGCCGCACCGUUUUACUCGCCACACGGUGUGGUAGUUCCGUCGCAGUUGGAUAUAGUCAUGCCCCUAUUGACCCGCGCCGUGUUGUUCUGCCUACACGGUCUCGACAAGCUGGAGAUACGGUACCGAGUAUCUCGGGGAAAAUUCUUCCGGUUCCGUAAGAGACUCAGACUAGAGCUGUUAGGUUUCUUGAAGUGGUUGGUGCGGAGGGUGUUAUUCGAGCACUCCAUGUCUCUGUUCCCCUUCCGCUCCUUUCCCGGCCUGAAAUUGGGCUCGGUCGGAUAACUAGGUCUCGACCACUACUAUAGAUCACCGCUCUCCUUGGUACCGAACAAUCGGUAACCCCUACCUAACUAUACAACAUGAUCGUGAGAGAGCGUCUAGUUCUCCACGGUCUGCUCGAGGCUAGGACUCUAUUCCGGAGCAGGUGCCGGUUACCUAGAGCUUUAGUUGUAGUCAAUAUGUCUUAAUCUAUGGAAAGGAGGUAAUGUAAUACACACGCCAGCAGCUACUAAUGUUACGAUUUCUCCUCACCACAACGUCCGACGAUAACUCCUUGUCUCUUGUUUCUGGGUCCUCGAAGACGCCUCCUUUCCUCCGUCCGCCGUCUCUCCCUCUCCCUCUGACUCCUCUCCUGCCGAUCCGAAAACCUCCUCCUCUCCUUGGCUUUGCUGAACCGAUUGGCCCGAUAUAUGCUCGAGAAGCACAGGUACACGCUCUUCUUGUCAGUCUGGGGAGGCGGUUACGGUCAGUAACGAGGCCGCCUGUGCGUAUUGAGGGCUGUUCUUAGCUGCAGACGGUAACCGCGCUCGUUCUUGGAGCUAGGAGGAGGCAGGCGGUGAUGGCGCUCGUUCUUGGGGCUAGGAAGUGGAUGCCCAACUGCUAAACGAAGUCUAGUGCCUUCCAACCCAACUACCUCACGAACAGAAAUCAAAAACAAAACUGAAACACUUUGAAAGAUGGAUACUACUUUGACACAUUAUAACUACUUUGAUACAUAUACAUACCUAUUUUGAACGAUGAUAACCAUUGUACACAACCUAUAUAAACGCAAGUACUGAUA